RNAcentral lists this ribosomal RNA (496 nucleotides) under uncultured bacterium. RNAcentral describes it as "partial 16S ribosomal RNA". It matches the Rfam family "Bacterial small subunit ribosomal RNA", at positions 28 to 507 of the family's 1533-position model. The record is from RNAcentral.
GAUGAACGCUGGCGGCGUGCCUAAUACAUGCAAGUCGAGCGAACAGACGAGGAGCUUGCUCCUCUGACGUUAGCGGCGGACGGGUGAGUAACACGUGGAUAACCUACCUAUAAGACUGGGAUACUUCGGGAAACCGGAGCUAAUACCGGAUAAUAUAUUGAACCGCCUGGUUUAAUAGUGAAAGACGGUUUUGCUGUCACUUAUAGAUGGAUCCGCGCCGCAUUAGCUAGUUGGUAAGGUAACGGCUUACCAAGGCAACGAUGCGUAGCCGACCUGAGAGGGUGAUCGGCCACACUGGAACUGAGACACGGUCCAGACUCCUACGGGAGGCAGCAGUAGGGAAUCUUCCGCAAUGGGCGAAAGCCUGACGGAGCAACGCCGCGUGAGUGAUGAAGGUCUUCGGAUCGUAAAACUCUGUUAUUAGGGAAGAACAAAUGUGUAAGUAACUAUGCACGUCUUGACGGUACCUAAUCAGAAAGCCACGGCUAACUACGUG